This is an RNA transcript of Hippocampus zosterae (dwarf seahorse), 1646 nucleotides long. RefSeq lists it as uncharacterized. The transcript has 12 exons. The record is from RefSeq and is a predicted model, not a curated record. Lineage: Eukaryota; Metazoa; Chordata; Actinopteri; Syngnathiformes; Syngnathidae.
CAUUUUAAGAACUCAGUUUGAAUAUUCCAUUGAGCCUAAUGUGGUUUACACCCUUUCCGCCUGCAGCGAAAGCGCUGUCCUCGCUCUAUGGAAAUGCGCAGGUAGACUUUGCCCUCAGGCUUGCUGACAACACAGGAAGAGCAGAGGAGACUAAAAUUGCGGCUUACACAAACCGAGUCACUCGGCUUUGAGAAAAAUGGAUGAUGUUAAUAGUCGCAGAAAUGAUUACGAUGGACCUUCACCUCCACCCUACAAUCCUGACUGUGAGAAGAAAUCAUACACAGGGCAGACGUAUCAGGUGGGGAAUGGAGGUAUUGCGGUGGUGACUCCACGAUGCAGCUAUGAAAACACGGUCUACUCAGAAAGACAAGCAGCUGCUGGGGAUGAGCAGCAGUUUGACCGAGCGCCACCAGUCUACUCUACCGGCUUUCAGGACAGUGUUUUUGCAGAUUCUACGAUACGAAGAGCUUUCAUAAGGAAAGUCUACCUGACCUUGAUGAUUCAGCUGCUGGUGACUGUUGGGAUCAUCUGUGCUUUUCUGUACUGGGAUUCUCUAAAGGAAUGGACGUGGACCAACAACUGGUUCUCCUAUGCCAUGAUGGCGACGGUGACCGUACUCAUUGUGGUCUUGUCCUGCUGUGACAACAUUCGCCGUCGGGUCCCCCUCAAUUUCAUCACCCUGGGUUUGUUUACUAUUGCAGAGGGCUUGAUGCUGGGAUCAGUCACAGUGUUCUUCUCAGCUGAACCUGUUCUGUGGGCCGUGGGUGCGACAGCGUUUGUGUCCUUCUCGCUGAGUGUAUUUGCAAUGCAGUCAAAGUAUGACUUCACCAUGGCAAGUGGAAGCCUGUGGGUGUUUGGCUGGACUCUCUUUUCCUUUGGACUGCUCUGUGCAAUCUUUCGAUCGCAGUUUGCUUACAUUGCCUAUGCCUGCCUGGGCACCUUGCUGUUUUCCUUGUACCUGGUGUUUGAUACCCAGCUCAUCGUGGGUGGGAAACACAGAAAAUAUGAGGUCUCUCCUGAGGAGUAUGUGUUUGCUGCUCUCAGCCUCUACCUGGACAUUGUUGUCUUGUUCCUUUUCUUGCUGAAACUUAUCAAUAUCUGCCGCUGAUAGCUAGUUUUCCUGACGAUGCCUUUUCAUAAACUAAACUAAUACUCAAUAUAUGCUUGAGCAUAUGAGUAGAAUGACCAACUCAUUUUUGGCACGGGCCACAUUGUAGUUAUGGUUUCCCUUGGAGGGCCAUUAUGAAUUUUGGGAGACCAUAUACAUAUUUAAUCACCUCCACAUUACAUACACCACUCAUAACAUAUUGAUGGAUAACUACUUUUAAAAUCAGAAGUAAAAAAUAAUGAUUGUUCUUGUGGACUUCAUAUGACAUUUUGAGAUUUUGGUUCAGACUUUAGCAAGCCUCAUGGAAUUCGACAUGCUUUAUUUGCUUUUGCAGGCCACAUAAAAUGAUGUGGCAGGCCAAAUCCGGCCCCUGGGCCUUGACUUUGACACCUGUGGUGUAGUGGUAUACUCGCAUGACUUGUGUGGGAUCAGUUCCUGCUCAGUGAUGGUGUGAAUGUGAAUAUUUCUGGCUGCAAACAUGAUUUCGUUGUCGAGAGGUUCGACUGUAUCUCUCUUUGGUCAGAUUUUUUUUUAAAUU